Molecule: non-coding RNA, 27 nt
Filed under: Homo sapiens (human)
Lineage: Eukaryota; Metazoa; Chordata; Mammalia; Primates; Hominidae
Source: RNAcentral
UGGUGCUGUCAGUGUUGCCUGGGGAGA